This is a long non-coding RNA of Gymnodraco acuticeps, 710 nucleotides long. RefSeq lists it as uncharacterized. The transcript has 4 exons. Lineage: Eukaryota; Metazoa; Chordata; Actinopteri; Perciformes; Bathydraconidae. The record is from RefSeq and is a predicted model, not a curated record.
GAUAAUAUCACUGAUGUGUCUGCAUCGAACACGACCCUGAAUACUCCGACACCUUCUGCACCAGCAACACAAGCAGCCGUGAUGGUCGUGCUGCUGCUUACCAGGAAGCUGAUGAAGAGAGGACGGAGAGGCCUUGAUGUCAGCUCCCCACACGAGGACAUAUACAAUAGUGCACGGCCUGAUGAAGUCUACCAAUCCCUCCACCCGUUGACAAUGGAUGAAGACCAAGUGUACAGCUCUCUCACAGAGGGGUCUGCUCUCCACACAACUUUAGACGACCACUGCAGCAGAAAAUAAUGAUUCAAUCUUUAUUAUAUGUGAGAUAAAUGCAAACAUUUCACCUCCGUCCUCAAGCUUUUUAUCUUUUUGAAUUGGAGUUAUUUUUACAAAGAGACUUGACAUCAAGAGAAUAAUUCAGUUUGCAUUGUCUGUGAAAUGAAGCUCAGCGUAAGUUCAACCAGGAAGACCGUCUAUUCACUAUUCCUACGUAACUACUCUCUCUCCUCUCAAUAAGUGAUCGGGGCGUCACUCUCCAGCUUAACCAAUCACUUCGCUCUAAGCCUAUCAUAGCGCUCUGCCAAACCUUUUAAAUCUGCUCUCCCCUCUGACAGCUGUCAUUUCAGGUGACUCCAUGCAACCCUCAUCCACCCCUUUUCACCUCCUGUCCCUCUGAAUCCAGGUUCAAGCUAGCUAAGCCCCUCCCCUUCAGA